RNAcentral lists this ribosomal RNA (440 nucleotides) under uncultured bacterium. Its description in RNAcentral is "partial 16S ribosomal RNA". It matches the Rfam family "Bacterial small subunit ribosomal RNA", at positions 338 to 795 of the family's 1533-position model. The record is from RNAcentral.
CCUACGGGUGGCAGCAGUGGGGAAUAUUGCACAAUGGGGGAAACCCUGAUACAGCGACGCCGCGUGAGUGAAGAAGUAUCUCGGUACGUAAAGCUCUAUCAGCAGGGAAGAAAAUGACGAUACCUGACUAAGAAGCCCAGGCUAACUACGUGCCAGCAGCCGCGGUAAUACGUAGGGGGCAAGCGUUAUCCGGAUUUACUGGGUGUAAAGGGAGCGUAGACGGCAGCACAAGUCUGGAGUGAAAUACCGGGGCUUAACCCCGGAACUGCUUUGGAAACUGUGCGGCUGGAGUGCAGGAGGGGUAAGCGGAAUGGCUAGUGUAGCGGUGAGAUGCGUAGAGAUUAGGAGGAACACCGGUGGCGAAGGCGGCUUACUGGACUGUAACUGACGUUGAGGCUCGAAAGCGUGGGGAGCAAACAGGAUUAGAUACCCCUGUAGUC